ACCACUCGAUUACGACCUCAGA
RNAcentral lists this ribosomal RNA (22 nucleotides) under Maurolicus muelleri (pearlsides). RNAcentral's name for it is "partial 28S ribosomal RNA". Lineage: Eukaryota; Metazoa; Chordata; Actinopteri; Stomiiformes; Sternoptychidae. The record is from RNAcentral.